CAGCAGCCACGGGAAUACGGAGGGAGCUAGCGUUGUUCGGAAUUACUGGGCGUAAAGCGUGCGUAGGCGGUUCGUUAAGUCUGUUGUGAAAGCCCCGGACUCAACCUGGGAAUGGCAAUGGAUACUGGCGAGCUAGAGUGUGUCAGAGGAUGGUGGAAUUCCCGGUGUAGCGGUGAAAUGCGUAGAGAUCGGGAGGAACACCGAUGGCGAAGGCAAUCCCCUGGGCCUGUACUGACGCUCAUGCACGAAAGCGUGGGGAGCAAACAGGAUUAGAUACCCGCGUAGUCCCUGUCUCUUAUAC
This 301-nucleotide ribosomal RNA is filed under the name uncultured bacterium. RNAcentral's name for it is "partial 16S ribosomal RNA". It matches the Rfam family "Bacterial small subunit ribosomal RNA", at positions 509 to 807 of the family's 1533-position model. The record is from RNAcentral.